UUCUUAUAUUCCACAUAUGAGUGAGAUCAUAUGGUAUUUGUCUUUCUCUAACUUACUUUGCUUAGCUUACUACUCUCCAGUUAGAUCCAUGUCUCUGCAAAUGGCAAGAUUUCAUUCUUUUUUAUGGCUGAAUAAUAUUCUGUUAUAUAUAAAUACCACAUCUUCUUUAUCCAUUCAUCAAUCGACACUUAGGCUGCUUCCAUAUCUAGGUUAUUGUAAAUAAUGCUUCUACAAACAUAGAAGUACUUAUAUUCCUUUGAAUCAGUGUUUUUGUGUUCUUUGGGUAAAUACCUAGUAAUGUGAUUGCUGUAUCAUAGGGGAGUUCUAUUUUUAAUUUUUCGAGGAACCACCAUACCGUUUUCCAUAGUGGCUGCACCAGUUUGCCUUCCCACCAACAGAGCAUGAGGAUUCCUUUUUCUUCAUAUCCUCACCUGUUGUUUCUUGUAUUGUUGAUUUUAGCCAUUCUGACAGGUGCAAGGUGAUAGCUCAUUGUAGUUUUGAUUUGCAUUUCCCUGAUGAUAAGUGAUUAUGAGCAUCUUUUCAUGUGUCUGUUGGCCAUCUGAAUGUCUUCUUUGAAGAAAUGUCUGCUCAUGUCUUCUGCCCAUUUUUAAUGUGAUUAUUUGUUUUUGAGUGUUAAAUUGUAAAAGUUCUUUAUAUAUUUUAGGUACUAACCCUUUUACUGGAUAUGUCAUUUGCAAAUAUCUUCUUUUAUUCCAUAAGGUUGCCUUUUGGUUUUGCUGAUUGUUUCCUUGCUGUGCAGAAGCUUUUUAUUUUGAUGUACUCCCAAUAGUUUAUUUUUCUUUUUGUUUUCCUUGCCUUGGGGGACCCACCUAGAAAAAAAGUUGCUAUGGCUGAUGCCAGAGAAGUUAUUACUUGUGCUCUCUUGUUGGAUUUUUAUGGCUUCAGGUCUCACAUUUGGGUCUUUCACCAAUUUUGAAUUUAUUUUUGUGUAUGUUGUAAGAAAAUAGUCCAGUUUUGUUCUUUUGCAUGUUGCUGUCCAGCUUUCCCAAUGCCAUUUGUUGAAGAGACAUUCUUUUUCCCAUUGGAUCUUCUUUCCCGCUUUGUUAAAGAUUAAUUGACCAUAUAGUUAUGGUUCAUUUCUGGCUUCCUAUUCUGUUCUAUUGAUCUAUGUGUCUAUUUUUGUGCCAGUACCUACUCUUUUGAUUACUAUAGCUUCGUAAUACAACUUAAAGUCUGGAAUUGUGAUGACUCUACCUUUGCUUUUCUUUUUCAAGAUAGCUCUGGCUAUUUGGGAUCUCUUAUGGUUCCAUAGAAAUUUUAGGAUUGUCUUUUCUAGUUCUAUGAAAAAUGGUGUUGGUAUUUUGAUGGGGAUUACAUUAAAUGUGUAGAUUGCUUUGGAUAGUAUAGACUUUUUUUAAGUUUUAUUUAUUUAAGUAUUGAGGGCUCAAAAUCAUGACCCUGAGAUCAAGAGUCGCAUGCUCCUCCAACUGAGCCAGCCAGGUGCUUCUGGGUAGUAUAGACAUUUUAACAAUAUUUGUUCUUCCAAUCCAUGGGCAUAGAAUAUCUUUCCAUUUCUUUGUGUCAUCUUCAAUUUCUCUCAUCAGUGUUUUAUAGUUUUCAGAGUAUAGGUCUUUCACCUCUUUGUUAGGUUUAUUCCUAGGUGUUUUACUAUUUUGGGUCCAAGAAAAUGUUUAUUUUUUUUUUAAAAAAAGAUUUUAUUUGUUUAUGAGAGACAGAGAGAGAGAGGCAGAGACUAGGCAGAGGGAGAAGCAGACUCCUCGCGGGGAACCUGACGCAGGACUCGAUCCCUGGUGGGGAUCAGGCCCUGAGUGAGCCGAAGGCAGAUGCUCAACUGCUGAGCUACCCAAGCAUCCCAAAAAAAUGUUUUUCUUUUUUUUUUAAGAUUUUAUUUACUCAUUUAUGAGACCGAGAGAGAGAGAGAGAGAGAGAGGCAGAGACACAGGCAGAGGGAGAAGCAGGCUCCAUACAAGGAGCCCGACAUGGGACUCAAUCCCGGGUCUCCAGGAUCACAGCCUGAGCCAAAGACAGACACUCAACCGCUCAGCCACCCAGGCAUCCCUUAAAAAAUACUUUUCAAACUAAACUGUAAAAUGUUCUCUUAAAUAGACGUUCCAGAACUUUCCCCCUCUAACCAACUUUAUAAAUGUUUUCUUCUCCAUCAUUCCUUAAAUGCAUCCUAAGUACGCUACUAUCUUUAAAACAUGGUUCUUUCCCUGGCCAUCAGAAAGCAGCUAUCAAGUCUCUUGUUCGAUCCACAGUCUCUCAUUAAUAUAACUCCCGAAAUAUGAUUUCACCUUUCCUUUGAUAUUUCAGCUGGCAUUCAAUCCAUAAUGUCAUUUCUCCAUGACUCCUGGUCUUUCUCCUUCUUACCUGUGGAUAAUGGUUCAGUUCAUAUCUGUGCUCUGAAUCAUUCUUUCCUGAAUUGUCACUUUCAUCUAUCCUUCUUGUAAUUCCAUGGCAUUAAUUUCCACCUUGCUUCCCUCCGAGAUCACAAAUCAUGUUAGGCUCGAGUUCUCAAAGCCUUGAAAAUUUUUGGUUCUUGAUAUAGACCAGGUAACCCUUCGCCUGGCAUUUGGGAGAAAGGUACUUUAUUAGACCAAAAAAAAUGGGGAGGGGAUGUUUGUUCCCUAAGACAUCUUUUUUAAAGAUGGUCCUCUAUUAUGACUAGAUGCUAGGGAUCUUUUAUGGCUACACACUUGGGUCAACCUGAGGCAGUCCCAUCCCUGUACUAAAUCUGCAAGAAUACCAGUAUAAGCUACACAGAUAAGAAUAAUUCCAAAUAUUUACAUUCUUAGGAAGUAAACCCAAAUUUCCUAUAACAAGACCUGGCUUAGUCACUCUUUCUUCUAAAUUGCUGGAAAGUAGUUUUCCCGGUCCCAGGAGAUGAAGAAGUUAUAACUAAUAUUAUCACCAUUACAGGUCAAUGCUCCAUGACACAUCUAGGUAACAACUUAGACAAAGCAAAGUCAAAGGGCUUUCAUGGCCCACAAAAAGGAUAUCUUCUUAAUGGUGACUAUCAUGAACGUGCCAAAUGACUUCCAUUCAACAACCAGGUAGAGCCAGGUAGAAUCAAAAACCUGGCAGAAAAAAAAAAAAAAAAAAAAAACCUGGCAGAGUUUUCAAGUGUGACAGGACACUCACAACCAUCUCUUCAUAUGACCCUGAAGAUCUAGCUCUAUCUACUAGAGAGAUCUCAGGUCAAAGUUACAUUUGAAGACAAGUUUCAUUCUUUCAGUUUGCCAGCUUUGCCUUUUUCUAUUAUCAGAUUCAAAUUUUCUGUUCUCAUGCUCAAUCCUGUUUCUAUAAUCAUUUUUUUGCAAUGAAUAUAACUGUAUUGCUCUAUUAUUUAUCACCAAACCUUGGUAAUAAUUCUUUCCCAAGAUGACUAACACUUGUUAUAAAGUAACACCUACAUCAGCUUCUUCAAUGAUUUAAUCUCAAUAAUAUUCUGUUUUCCUCCCCUUCUGUGCACAUGGAAGAGUCUACUUCUCAAACACUCUGUAUUUGGACACACUACUGGACUAGUUCUGAGCAAUGAAUUUUAAGUAGAAAUGAUAUGUGUCACUUCAAGUUUGAGGUGAUGAAAGGCCUUGUGUGAAGUUCCUGUUUCUUUCUUCUGCCACGUAAUCCAGAUGCUGAAGCUACAAGAUGGAGAAGCAUCCAUCAGCCUAGAUCCCUGAGUGACUUUGUGUGACAGAACCUCUCCCACAAACCCCCUCUGGACAUGUAGUAUGAGCAAGAAAUAAAUCUUUAUUGUAUUAAGCCCCCCAAAUUUGGAAGCCAUCCCCAAUGAGUGACUUUGUGUGUCCUAACAGACAAGUAUAAAACAACAUCUGUGUGUAUGUGUGUGUGACCCAUGUGUGUUAGGAUUUUGCCAAGUUCUGAUUAGUUGAAUUCUGAUUAGUUCCAUUCCAAUCAGCAUAAAAUCAGCCAACGAUUCUAAUUUAUAAGAGGGUAAGUUGUAACCAUAAUGACCUUAUGAUGGAGUAAUAUUGAGAGCAUUUAUAACUUAUGUAGCAUAUAAUAGCUCUUAUUUGUUCUAGAUAAAUCAAUGACAGUAUCCACUUCAACUGAUUCUGUAGAUGAAAUACCCCCAAUACCUAUUUCUCUCUUAAAAUAUGCUGAAGGUAAAAGCAUACUUAUGCCUGCAUUUAUAUUGAAUAGUUUAUGCAAACUACUCUUGUCUAGAUGAAUCAAGAACAUGCUAGCAAUUUCCUAAGUGAGUUUGGGAAGUGUCGGAGUAGUUAAUGGUAUCUCCAAACUGAUGUAUGGAUUACCCUCAUAGUAUAUGGAUGGUUUUAAUUGAAUCAGUUUCCAGAUCCCCAACUUUCAUAUAUAUUCAAUCUUAACACUGGUUGGAGGACAACAUGGGGCAGAGGCUUGAGGCUGCCUGACACUCUCCCUUUCUUUUUUUAAAAUUUUUUUUUUUUAUGAUAGUCACAC
This 4425-nucleotide long non-coding RNA is filed under the name Canis lupus familiaris (dog). Its description in RNAcentral is "lncRNA (ENSCAFG00000058861.1)". Lineage: Eukaryota; Metazoa; Chordata; Mammalia; Carnivora; Canidae. The record is from RNAcentral.